GGACGAACGCUGGCGGCGUGCUUAACACAUGCAAGUCGAACGGGAGUAUUGAAGAAGCUUGCUUUAGAGAUACUUUAGUGGCGGACGGGUGAGUAACGCGUGAGGAGCUGUCCUAUGCAGGGGGACAACAGCUGGAAACGGCUGCUAAUACCCCAUAAGCCGAGAGGUAAAAGGAUCAAUCCGGCAGAGGAGGUACUCGCGUCCUAUCAGCUAGUAGGUGAGGUAACGGCUCACCUAGGCGAAGACGGGUAGCCGGCCUGAGAGGGCGAACGGCCACACUGGAACUGAGAUACGGUCCAGACUCCUACGGGAGGCAGCAGUGGGGAAUAUUGGGCAAUGGGGGAAACCCUGACCCAGCGACGCCGCGUGGGUGAAGAAAUCCUUCGGGAUGUAAAGCCCUGUUGUAUGGGAAGAGCGGAAGACGGUACCAUACGAGGAAGCCCCGGCAAACUACGUGCCAGCAGCCGCGGUAAUACGUAGGGGGCAAGCGUUGUCCGGAAAUU
RNAcentral lists this ribosomal RNA (503 nucleotides) under uncultured bacterium. RNAcentral's name for it is "bacterial SSU rRNA". It matches the Rfam family "Bacterial small subunit ribosomal RNA", at positions 27 to 553 of the family's 1533-position model. The record is from RNAcentral.